Molecule: ribosomal RNA, 496 nt
Filed under: uncultured bacterium
Lineage: Bacteria
Description: partial 16S ribosomal RNA
Rfam family: Bacterial small subunit ribosomal RNA
Source: RNAcentral
GACGAACGCUGGCGGCGUGCCUAAUACAUGCAAGUUGAGCGCUGAAGGUUGGUACUUGUACCAACUGGAUGAGCAGCGAACGGGUGAGUAACGCGUGGGGAAUCUGCCUUUGAGCGGGGGACAACAUUUGGAAACGAAUGCUAAUACCGCAUAAAAACUUUAAACACAAGUUUUAAGUUUGAAAGAUGCAAUUGCAUCACUCAAAGAUGAUCCCGCGUUGUAUUAGCUAGUUGGUGAGGUAAAGGCUCACCAAGGCGAUGAUACAUAGCCGACCUGAGAGGGUGAUCGGCCACAUUGGGACUGAGACACGGCCCAAACUCCUACGGGAGGCAGCAGUAGGGAAUCUUCGGCAAUGGACGAAAGUGUGACCGAGCAACGCCGCGUGAGUGAAGAAGGUUUUCGGAUCGUAAAACUCUGUUGGUAGAGAAGAACGUUGGUGAGAGUGGAAAGCUCAUCAAGUGACGGUAACUACCCAGAAAGGGACGGCUAACUACGU